Molecule: RNA transcript, 577 nt
Organism: Rosa chinensis
Lineage: Eukaryota; Viridiplantae; Streptophyta; Magnoliopsida; Rosales; Rosaceae
Exons: 3
Source: RefSeq, a predicted model, not a curated record
UUUGAUGUUAGAUGUCAUUAGAUGUUAACGGUUGUGAAUCCCACUGAAAAAGUUGUGCAGUUCAUGGAUCCAUUAAAGAGGCGAUUUAUCAUCAGUGAAUGGAGAGCUAUUGUGGACAACUCCAUCAAAAUAUACAAUGCACAAAAACAUAAAAAAAGGCAGAAAAUCAGUUAUGUGGAACAAUUGUGCGGGCAUUCCAGAGCAGCGAGGUGGUAAAACCUGUAGGUUAUGGAUUAUACAUUACAUGAAGGACAUAGUGGAGGACAAGAACCAAGAAUGGAGUGCUAAGGUAAUAUAUGUCAACUCAUUUAAGUUCUUCAUACUGGUUAGCAUUCCAGAAAACUUAAGGCUAAACUAUAAUUUAACUUUCACAUUUUUUAUUGUUGCACUGGGAAAGAAGUGUAGAUAUACCUCCACUAGCAUGGCUCAUUCUCUAUGUCACCAUGCAUAAGCAACACCCUCUUAGUAGGCCCACAAGCCAUGGUGGGGCCCAACCAUGACAUACAAGCCGUAACCCGACAUACAACCUACCCCGUGGUAGUCGGAAGCGGCCAAGUCCUCGCUGGGAAGCAACCUU